AACAUAAUUGAAAAACAACACCAAAAUAUCACACUAUGUACAGGCUUCUCUAAUGCUCUGAGGAUCACAGCUAGCCCCAUCCUAAUUUUUAAUUUUCAUUCCUAGAACUUCCAGUACAAGAACAUGAGAAUAGAAAACAUAAUUUUAAGAAUAACUAAGAACUAAAUUAUCAAUACCUGUUCGUUUCAGUCAGAGUGAGAGGACCAAAGUGAGUAAAACCUUCAAUUCGUGACGAGAUAGCUUCAAUCGUGUGUUUGUGUUUCAAUGGGUUUAGGGUUCGUGAGCUUGAGAAAUUGAGUUUAGGGUUCGUGAAAGAAGAGAGUUUAGGGUUUGUGAUCUUGAGAUUAGGGUUAGUGAGAGAAGAAGAUUCGUGAGAGAAGGAGAUUCGUGAGUGAUGGGUUUGUGAGCUUCAAAUUAGGGUAAGGGUUCAUAGCUUCUGCCGCGUGAGAGAGAAGAUCAGAAAUCGUGUUUCAGAGUGUGAGUGUGCGUUUAAUUAAUUAACCCUUUGGAAAGAAGUUAAGUAGUGGGUAACCCACUACUAACAAGUUAACUAACAAGUUAAUAGGAGAAUAUGUCUGAGUCAUGUGGCUCCAAUGCUUUCCCAAAUGCAGAGGUGGAAAAACA
This 624-nucleotide long non-coding RNA is filed under the name Trifolium pratense (red clover). RNAcentral describes it as "long non-coding RNA (TPRA_LNC010062)". The record is from RNAcentral. Lineage: Eukaryota; Viridiplantae; Streptophyta; Magnoliopsida; Fabales; Fabaceae.